AGGACGAACGCUGGCGGCGUGCCUAACACAUGCAAGUCGAACGGGGUGAAGCCCUUCGGGACUUCACUUAGUGGCGAACGGGUGAGUAACGCGUGAGGAACCUGCCUUUCAGUGGGGGACAACAGUUGGAAACGGCUGCUAAUACCGCAUAAGCGCACAGUACCGCAUGGUACAGUGUGAAAAACUCCGGUGGUGUGAGAUGGACCCGCGUCUGAUUAGCUAGUUGGCAGGGCAACGGCCUACCAAGGCGACGAUCAGUAGCCGACCUGAGAGGGUGACCGGCCACAUUGGGACUGAGACACGGCCCAAACUCCUACGGGAGGCAGCAGUGGGGAAUAUUGCACAAUGGGGGAAACCCUGAUGCAGCGACGCCGCGUGAGCGAAGAAGUAUUUCGGUAUGUAAAGCUCUAUCAGCAGGGAAGAAGAAAUGACGGUACCUGACUAAGAAGCACCGGCUAAAUACGUG
This 466-nucleotide ribosomal RNA is filed under the name uncultured bacterium. RNAcentral describes it as "bacterial SSU rRNA". It matches the Rfam family "Bacterial small subunit ribosomal RNA", at positions 26 to 507 of the family's 1533-position model. The record is from RNAcentral.